Molecule: ribosomal RNA, 497 nt
Filed under: uncultured bacterium
Lineage: Bacteria
Description: partial 16S ribosomal RNA
Rfam family: Bacterial small subunit ribosomal RNA
Source: RNAcentral
GAUGAACGCUGGCGGCGUGCCUAAUACAUGCAAGUCGAGCGAACAGACGAGGAGCUUGCUCCUCUGACGUUAGCGGCGGACGGGUGAGUAACACGUGGAUAACCUACCUAUAAGACUGGGAUAACUUCGGGAAACCGGAGCUAAUACCGGAUAAUAUAUUGAACCGCAUGGUUCAAUAGUGAAAGACGGUUUUGCUGUCACUUAUAGAUGGAUCCGCGCCGCAUUAGCUAGUUGGUAAGGUAACGGCUUACCAAGGCAACGAUGCGUAGCCGACCUGAGAGGGUGAUAGGCCACACUGGAACUGAGACACGGUCCAGACUCCUACGGGAGGCAGCAGUAGGGAAUCUUCCGCAAUGGGCGAAAGCUUGACGGAGCAACGCCGCGUGAGUGAUGAAGGUCUACGGAUCGUAAAACUCUGUUAUUAGGGAAGAACAAAUGUGUAAGUAACUAUGCACGUCUUGACGGUACCUAAUCAGAAAGCCACGGCUAACUACGUG